CCUACGGGAGGCAGCAGUGGGGAAUAUUGGGCAAUGGGCGCAAGCCUGACCCAGCAACGCCGCGUGAAGGAAGAAGGCUUUCGGGUUGUAAACUUCUUUUGUCAGGGACGCAGCAAGUGACGGUACCUGACGAAUAAGCCACGGCUAACUACGUGCCAGCAGCCGCGGUAAUACGUAGGUGGGAAGCGUUAUCCGGAUUUAUUGGGUGUAAAGGGCGUGUAGGCGGGAAUGCAAGUCAGAUGUGAAAACUAUGGGCUCAACCCAUAGCCUGCCUUUGAAACUGUAUUUCUUGAGUGCUGGAGAGGCAAUCGGAAUUCCGUGUGUAGCGGUGAAAUGCGUAGAUAUACGGAGGAACACCAGUGGCGAAGGCGGAUUGCUGGACAGUAACUGACGCUGAGGCGCGAAAGCGUGGGGAGCGAACAGGAUUAGAUACCCCGGUAGUC
Molecule: ribosomal RNA, 443 nt
Filed under: uncultured bacterium
Lineage: Bacteria
Description: partial 16S ribosomal RNA
Rfam family: Bacterial small subunit ribosomal RNA
Source: RNAcentral